This 468-nucleotide ribosomal RNA is filed under the name uncultured bacterium. Its description in RNAcentral is "partial 16S ribosomal RNA". It matches the Rfam family "Bacterial small subunit ribosomal RNA", at positions 28 to 507 of the family's 1533-position model. The record is from RNAcentral.
GAUGAACGCUGGCGGCGUGCCUAACACAUGCAAGUCGAACGGAAAGGCCCUGCUUUUGCGGGGUGCUCGAGUGGCGCACGGGUGAGUAACACGUGAGUAUCCUGCCCUUGACUUUGGGAUAUCUUCAGGAAACUGCGGCUAAUACCGGAUAGGAGCUCCUGCUGCAUGGUGGGGGUUGGAAAGUUUAGGCGGUUGUGGAUGGACUCGCGGCUUACCAGCUUGUUGGUGGGGUAGUUGCUUACCAAGCCUUCGACGGGUAGCCGGCAUGGAAGGGGGAACAGCCUCAAUAGGCCUGAGGUACGGACCAGACUCGUACGGGAGGCAACAGUGGGGAGUAUGGCACAGUGGGGGGGAGCGUGAUGCAGCAGCGCCGCGAGCGGAAAGCCGGCCUACGGGUGGUGAACCGCUUUCGCCUGAGACGAAGCGUGAGUGACGGUAAUGAGUAAAGAAGCACCGGCUAACUACGUG